AACGCAUAUUGCGCUCGAGCCCUCGGGCAAGAGCAUGUCUGCCUCAGCGUCGGUUUACACCCUCACCCCUCCCAACUUGUUGGGUGUGUUUGCUUCUAUAGCAGGCCAUUGGGGUGGAUCUGGCUUCCCCAAUCUGCCAUCUAGGCGGAUUGGGUUGGCUGAAGUGCAGAGGCUUAAGCAAGGACCCGAUAUGGGCUUCAACUGGAUAGGUAGCACCGGCUUCUGCCGACUACACGAAGUUGUUGCUUGUGGAUCUUGCUAGGGGCCAAGCAGGAACGUGCCUUUUGGCAUGUCUAAACUUUCGACCUGAGCUCAGGCAAGGCUACCCGCUGAACUUAA
RNAcentral lists this unclassified non-coding RNA (339 nucleotides) under uncultured fungus. RNAcentral describes it as "partial contains 5.8S ribosomal RNA, internal transcribed spacer 2, and large subunit ribosomal RNA". Lineage: Eukaryota; Fungi. The record is from RNAcentral.